GACGAACGCUGGCGGCGUGCUUAACACAUGCAAGUCGAACGGAAAGGCCCUGCUUUUGUGGGGUGCUCGAGUGGCGAACGGGUGAGUAACACGUGAGUACCCUGCCCUUGACUUGGGGAUAACUCCAGGAAACGGGGGCUAAUACCGGAUAGGAGCUCCUGCUGCAUGGUGGGGGUUGGAAAGUUUCGGCGGUUGGGGAUGGACUCGCGGCUUAUCAGCUUGUUGGUGGGGUAGUGGCUUACCAAGGCUUUGACGGGUAGCCGGCCUGAGAGGGUGACCGGCCACAUUGGGACUGAGAUACGGCCCAGACUCCUACGGGAGGCAGCAGUGGGGAAUAUUGCACAAUGGGCGGAAGCCUGAUGCAGCAACGCCGCGUGCGGGAUGACGGCCUUCGGGUUGUAAACCGCUUUCGCCUGUGACGAAGCGUGAGUGACGGUAAUGGGUAAAGAAGCACCGGCUAACUACGUG
RNAcentral lists this ribosomal RNA (468 nucleotides) under uncultured bacterium. RNAcentral describes it as "partial 16S ribosomal RNA". It matches the Rfam family "Bacterial small subunit ribosomal RNA", at positions 28 to 507 of the family's 1533-position model. The record is from RNAcentral.